AUAUAUUGUUCUAGCGGAAGGCUUCAGCAACCAAGGUAAGGCUCUCAUGGCUCAAUCAAACUGCUUAGCUCUCUAGAAUCCACUACUCUUUGAAAUUUGUUCUUUUCAUCAGCAGACAAAUCAUCAAAAUUAAUUUGGACUCCUGUAGAGAAAAGUAGACAAUAAAAUCAGAUCAGAUUGAAGUAAUAUAACCAAAAAUAAUAAAAUUAGGCAAACACAUGAUUUAGGGGUGAAACAAGAUUAAGUUUGCAAAAUUUAAUAAUGAAAGAGACACAGGCAACACCGCUAAUACCAGACAUAAUCUUUUGAAUAGUCUUCUCUAAUAAUGUUGAAUCUGAGAAAUUUGUGCUUUGUACUUUGUUUUCAUGAACCAUUUAUUAUUUAUUUUACCAGCCUUUUUUAUUGCCUUUCUUGAGACCUUUUUUUCUUAGAUUGAUUGAACUUAGCAUUAUAAAGUCUAAAGUAGUAAAAUGGAUGUUUUUUAUAGUUUGGUAGUUCUAGCAUUCUGAAAAAUCUGAAAUAACUCUGCUAUUUUGCUAACCUUUAUGACACACAAAAAACUCUUCAGAGUUGAGUUUAAGGUCUAUUUGAAUGCAAUGUCUACACAAGAGAACUAUCUAACUCUCAUAGCUUAACAUAUUUUAUGAUAAAUAAUUAGAUGAAAUUUCAUUUUGUAGUGGAAUGAUUACAGGGGAUUUAGCUUAAAUGACGAAUUUGUCAUGAAUUGCUAAUUCUAGAUUAUACUAUGCUAUUAUUAUUGGCUUAAAUAUUUUUGGUUAUGGACAAAUUUCGCAAAGUUUUUUUUUUCAAAAACUAAUAGAGAAACGUGUUAGAGAAUAACAACACAACGAAAAACAAUAGCAAAGAAAAAAUUAAAAGAAAACAAUCGUACAAGACAUAAGAUUUACGUGGUUCACCAAAAAAAUUAAAAUGAAAUUUUAAUAUUUAUAUUAAUUUAGUUUAAAGAAAUUUGAGUUGUGUUGGUCUAUAUGCACACCUUUCAAUCCUACUCGACAAUUUCGGUAAAAGAAAAAGAGACAUCAAAGCAAAAAAAAAAUUCACUAAACAAAAUUAAAUCUUGAAGGGGAAAUGAUUGGCUUAUUUUCAAUUGGUCUCACUAGAUUUUGUAUCCAUAAUCUACAUUGCAGUUAAGGAAGCAUUUUAGGGUAUGUUUUGUUAUAGUGUUUAUAGUAUUUGCUACAACAAUGUUUAGUGCGUUUGGUCACUAUAAGGUGAUUUUAAAUUCAAACUUUACUUUUAUGAAUUAAACUUUACUUUGAACAGACAAUAAGUGAUUUAAAGUGAUUCAAAAUGAUUUAAAGUGAUUCAGGUUAAAAGUGAUUUAAAAAAGUGAUUAUUUUAAUAAAAAGAGUUGCUAUAUUAAGACCCUGCUAAAAUAGAUGAAGACAAACUUUGUACGUAACAUGGAUAGAAGAGGACCUUUUAGUGAUAGACAUUGACAUUGUUCUUCGGUGGUAUCUGUAAGAUCACCUUCAAGACCAAUUAUGCAGUACAUAGAUUUGUCACAUCUUAAGCCAGUCUCAAUGGCCCUCAAGCUCAGAACUCAUAAAAGCACUAAUUCUUUUUUGAAAUUCUUUUAUUAGGUCUCUAAGAGGCCUUUCUACAAAUAUGACAGGAACUGUUUUGUAUCCAUGUUAAAUAGGUCAUAGAUAGUGUUAGGAUUUUGAUGAUCAAAUCUUAAUUCAAAUACAUGUAAAUGCUCUUAAUGUUAGGAGUUUCUAUAUUGCAAGGAAGUUUCUAUUGUAUAAAGGGUCUUACAAUUCCACCCCCCUAACAAUUGCUACAUUACUGAUAAUGAUAGUUAAUAGUAUAUUUUCAAUUAAACUUUAGACUGAUAAUGAAGUAACGCAAGGAAUAUUUUUUUAUAACUGUAGUUUCCUUGAGAUUUCUUAUAUUUUUAUUUAUGUGGCUGGGAUUUAAUCUAACGAAUAAGCCAGAAUUUUGGAUGCAGUUUUUGGAUUCCUUUGAUUCUCUAUUAUUUUAUUUCAAGAAUUAUGUUUUUUUGAAUUUAUAUUUGGUUUCUAAAAUCUCUGUAACCAUGUCCUUUCCUUUUGUCUGUUGUUUUAUCCCUGUCUCAUGUUUGUUCAAUGUUGCUGAUUCCUAUCGGGGCUUUGUUACUACAUUACUAAUUUUGAAAUAGUUAGUGCCCACUCAAGGCCAUCUGUAUUUUGGGGUUGGGUAGCAUCUCAGAGAAUGAUUCACUUUUUUUCCUCAUACUAAUAAAACAAUGGGAACUAUGUCAAAUUUUGAUUAAUUAGACCCUAAUCAAGAAUUUCAAUAUGCUACUUGAACAGAGUAAAAACGGGAGGGAAAAACAGCCCUGUACGAGUCUAGAGCAGAACUUUAACCAUGAUAAUUUUCCAUUUUGCUUAGAAAUUCCUCUAAAAGCAUAAGCUCAUAUUAGCUAACCAUUUUUAUUCAUAUUAGCUAAGCAGUAGGUGUAAAUUCUUUGAACAGCAGUCUGCAACAACCACCUAUAUUUGGGAUCCCCUCAACCUAUGGAUAGAAUUGGAUCAUUCACUAUCGUGCUAAAACCCAAGUAACCAUGAUUGACCAAUACAUGAAAAAAUAAAGACAACCAAAACAGAUGUUAGAUUUUGUUUUAAGAGUAGUAAACAUGCUAAAAGCGUACUUCAUUUUUGUUUAGCCGAUUGAAGACAAUUGUACAUCUCAUUUUUGUUCAAGAACUUAACAAUACAAGAAAACAAAGUAGAAUUUGUGGGGCAAAAUUAAUAAAAUAAUCUAAAUUUCCAAGCGAAGGAUCAGAACCAUAUUUGUAAACUGACUAAUUUAUGAGAAACACGUGUUCCAGCAAAACCUCAACUUUCUUCCAACUCGGUGACAACCCUUUUGCUUCCAUCAAGUGAGCUUCUAGCCUUCCACCUUACUUCUAGACAUUUGCUUAUUUAUUAGUAGUACAUAUAGUUCACCAUGUUUUUUUGGAUGCCUUAUCAAAUGCGAAGACCUAUAUUGUGUUGCUAAGUGGCUGAGGUUCAAAUGAUGACACUUGAUCUUACCAUAAGUUAUCUGUUUGGAUUAUAUAGUUAGAUUUUUUUUAUAGUUUGGUUACUGAGGAGCUUAAGGGUAACUUGGAUCAUAUGUGUCAAAUGCAAUGAUCCGAUUAAAACUUUGCUUUUACUUUCGGAAAUAAGAUGUGGUUUAAAAAUUGGUUCUAAGAAAUUGAUUCUAUUAAAGUUUAUUUUAUUAGUGGGAAAUUGAACAAAUCUAUGCUCUUUUUUGUUAUCCAAAUUGUUUACUAUGUUUUCUAGAAAACUAGAAUCAAAGAAUACAACAUAAAAUUGAUUUGGAGGAAGGGAAGGGAAAAACAUGUGAUUGAAUUAAAACCUGGAUCAUAUAUUUUGUUGUAAAACUCUUCUAGAGGACGAGAAAAACAUGUGAUUUGAAAAUUUCAUGUAGGUUGGAUCUAAGGUAAAGUGAAUUUAAGAUGAAACGAUUUGGGGUUAUUGUUUAAAGAGUGGUAGAAUUUGAUUUAAAAUAUAUCAAUAUUAUCUUCUAUGUAAUAAUUUGUCUCAGGUUGCAGGAUAUAUUUUUGACUCUUUAACAUUUUGACUAAGCCUUAUUAAUAGUUUUGGAUUAGGCAUUCUUACUCUUUUUUUAAUUACCUCAUUCACAUAUAUUUCUAACAUAGUUUUAUUUAAUGAUUUUGACCCUUAGGAUUUGUGUUCUCACUCUAUCUCUCUCUCUUUCACAGCAGUAGUACACACACAAAACACACACACAAUUGCACACGAAUGUUAGUUUUUUUUUUAAAUUUGGCGUCUUAUAAUUUGACUGAUUUUAUUUUUAAAAUUGCGGACACCUUUUUUUAGUCAUGGACACCUUUAUGUGGGAUCUAGAUGCACAUCUUCGGAUCGUAUUAUUGUCCUUCUACUGGAUGAUGGGUUGAAUUGCACCACAAAUAUUGUUUACCCAGAAGUUUUGUUAUAAUAUUCUUACGACAAGUAAUGGUAUAGUUUAAAUAAGUUUAUUUAUAUUGAAUUAUGUAAUCUUUUCAACAUUUCAACUUUUAAUUUUACAAUGAGGUUCAUUCUUUGUAGGAUUGGAGUGAAUUUGUCAAUGAGAACGAUAAAGUAUAUACAAUAGACCUUUGUGGAUGGGGUCGACGUAAUCAGGUAAAUCUACUUUUAUGUCACUGCAUCAAAAUAACUUUACUAUUCUUAUAAUAUAAAUAAUGUUAAAUAUAUUAUUUAUGUGAAUAAUUUAGGUGGUUGUGCAUUCUUCUCAUUGGGCAAACUGCGUUCAUAUUGAUACGAGGACAUCAAGGAUAGUGAUGAAGAGAAAGUUUGAAGGGAUGAAGAAGACAUUUAAGAGAGUUAAAUGAUAUGCAAUCUAAUACCGUCCUGUCCACCUUUGACAAUGACUAACCCAUCAUUGACCAAAUAAUUGUCUAGGUGUGAAAGUCUCAUUGACUAAGACUCUAUAUUUCUCUACUUCUCAUGCAGACACACAACACACAAAAUACAUUCAAAAACACACACAUAAUUGUAACCAUUCAAACACUCACAAAUCAAACUCACACACCAUUAUACUGCCACCAAUACUAAUUU
This 4589-nucleotide long non-coding RNA is filed under the name Panax ginseng (ginseng). Its description in RNAcentral is "long non-coding RNA (PGIN_LNC007600)". The record is from RNAcentral. Lineage: Eukaryota; Viridiplantae; Streptophyta; Magnoliopsida; Apiales; Araliaceae.